This 1471-nucleotide long non-coding RNA is filed under the name Mus musculus (house mouse). RNAcentral describes it as "metastasis associated lung adenocarcinoma transcript 1 (non-coding RNA)". Lineage: Eukaryota; Metazoa; Chordata; Mammalia; Rodentia; Muridae. The record is from RNAcentral.
GAGGGGGGGAUGGGGCUUACUUGUUCUAGCUUUUUUUUUACAGACCACACAGAAUGCAGGUGUCUUGACUUCAGGUCAUGUCUGUUCUUUGGCAAGUAAUAUGUGCAGUACUGUUCCAAUCUGCUGCUAUUAGAAUGCAUUGUGACGCGACUGGAGUAUGAUUAAAGAAAGUUGUGUUUCCCCAAGUGUUUGGAGUAGUGGUUGUUGGAGGAAAAGCCAUGAGUAACAGGCUGAGUGUUGAGGAAAUGGCUCUCUGCAGCUUUAAGUAACCCGUGUUUGUGAUUGGAGCCGAGUCCCUUUGCUGUGCUGCCUUAGGUAAAUGUUUUUGUUCAUUUCUGGUGAGGGGGGUUGGGAGCACUGAAGCCUUUAGUCUCUUCCAGAUUCAACUUAAAAUCUGACAAGAAAUAAAUCAGACAAGCAACAUUCUUGAAGAAAUUUUAACUGGCAAGUGGAAAUGUUUUGAACAGUUCCGUGGUCUUUAGUGCAUUAUCUUUGUGUAGGUGUUCUCUCUCCCCUCCCUUGGUCUUAAUUCUUACAUGCAGGAACAUUGACAACAGCAGACAUCUAUCUAUUCAAGGGGCCAGAGAAUCCAGACCCAGUAAGGAAAAAUAGCCCAUUUACUUUAAAUCGAUAAGUGAAGCAGACAUGCCAUUUUCAGUGUGGGGAUUGGGAAGCCCUAGUUCUUUCAGAUGUACUUCAGACUGUAGAAGGAGCUUCCAGUUGAAUUGAAAUUCACCAGUGGACAAAAUGAGGACAACAGGUGAACGAGCCUUUUCUUGUUUAAGAUUAGCUACUGGUAAUCUAGUGUUGAAUCCUCUCCAGCUUCAUGCUGGAGCAGCUAGCAUGUGAUGUAAUGUUGGCCUUGGGGUGGAGGGGUGAGGUGGGCGCUAAGCCUUUUUUUAAGAUUUUUCAGGUACCCCUCACUAAAGGCACUGAAGGCUUAAUGUAGGACAGCGGAGCCUUCCUGUGUGGCAAGAAUCAAGCAAGCAGUAUUGUAUCGAGACCAAAGUGGUAUCAUGGUCGGUUUUGAUUAGCAGUGGGGACUACCCUACCGUAACACCUUGUUGGAAUUGAAGCAUCCAAAGAAAAUACUUGAGAGGCCCUGGGCUUGUUUUAACAUCUGGAAAAAAGGCUGUUUUUAUAGCAGCGGUUACCAGCCCAAACCUCAAGUUGUGCUUGCAGGGGAGGGAAAAGGGGGAAAGCGGGCAACCAGUUUCCCCAGCUUUUCCAGAAUCCUGUUACAAGGUCUCCCCACAAGUGAUUUCUCUGCCACAUCGCCACCAUGGGCCUUUGGCCUAAUCACAGACCCUUCACCCCUCACCUUGAUGCAGCCAGUAGCUGGAUCCUUGAGGUCACGUUGCAUAUCGGUUUCAAGGUUAUGCCCAAUUCGUCUUAUUACCUCUGAGUCGACACACCUCCUACUAUUUAUUGAAUACUUUGAUUUUAUGAAAUAAAAACUAAAUAUCUCUCA